This 458-nucleotide ribosomal RNA is filed under the name uncultured bacterium. RNAcentral's name for it is "partial 16S ribosomal RNA". It matches the Rfam family "Bacterial small subunit ribosomal RNA", at positions 338 to 795 of the family's 1533-position model. The record is from RNAcentral.
CCUACGGGUGGCAGCAGUGAGGAAUAUUGGUCAAUGGGCGCGAGCCUGAACCAGCCAAGUCGCGUGAGGGAAGACGGUCCUAUGGAUUGUAAACCUCUUUUGUCGGGGAUAACACCCUCCACUUGUGGAGGUCUGCAGGUACCGUGCGAAUAAGGGCCGGCUAAUUCCGUGCCAGCAGCCGCGGUAAUACGGAAGGCCCGAGCGUUAUCCGGAUUCAUUGGGCUUAAAGGGAGCGUAGGCGGGCGUUCAAGUCAGCUGUAAAAUCGCGCGGCUCAACCGCGCCCCGCAGUUGAAACUGGACGCCUUGAGUUCACAACAGGCAGGCGGAAUUCGUGGUGUAGCGGUGAAAUGCAUAGAUAUCACGAGGAACCCCGAUUGCGAAGGCAGCCUGCCGGGGUGUGACUGACGCUGAGGCUCGAAGGUGCGGGUAUCAAACAGGAUUAGAUACCCUUGUAGUC